GAUAUUGGGCGUAAGCGCGCGCAGGCGGUUUCUUAAGUCUGAUGUGAAAGCCCCCGGCUCAACCGGGGAGGGGCAUUGGAAACUGGCGAACUUGAGUGCGGAAGAGGGUGGCGGAAUUCCCUGUGUAGCGGUGAAAUGCGUAGAUAUGUGAAGGAACACCAGUGGCGAAGGCGACUUUCUGGUCUGUAACUGACGCUGAGGCGCGAAAGCGUGGGGAGCAAACAGGAUUAGAUACCCUGGUAGUCCACGCCGUAAACGAUGACUGCUA
Molecule: ribosomal RNA, 268 nt
Filed under: Priestia megaterium
Lineage: Bacteria; Bacillati; Bacillota; Bacilli; Caryophanales; Bacillaceae
Description: Bacillus megaterium partial 16S ribosomal RNA
Rfam family: Bacterial small subunit ribosomal RNA
Source: RNAcentral